Long non-coding RNA from Lingula anatina, 907 nucleotides. RefSeq lists it as uncharacterized. Lineage: Eukaryota; Metazoa; Brachiopoda; Lingulata; Lingulida; Lingulidae. The record is from RefSeq and is a predicted model, not a curated record.
ACGCGGUUUUGUUUGUUUACCUUAGGACAAAGGGCAGCUACAAAUUUAGCGUCGGUUUGUAGCGUCACCUGGCAGUUGAGUUUAAAGAUUUCAACCUCAGCGGAAAAAAUCAGAUUCAAUCUCUAAUCAGUGAAAAUGGCCAAAGCAAGAAAGGCAGCAGCAAAGAAGCCUGCAGGAGACAGUGCAGCCAAAGCCAAGGCUCCUAAGAGGAAGGCACCAGCAAAGAAGAAGUCAGGAAAGGUUACAAAGAAAGCAGCCAAGAAAGCAAAGAAGCCCAAGAAGAAGUAGACUUCUUUAUUGGAGCCAACAGACUUUUGUAGCAUAAGAGACAUUGUACAAGUAUCAAUAUUUGAUAUACCUCUUUUAUAGAAAAAAUACGUUAAAAAUGGAGCUUUAAGUCUAUGUUGUGGAUCAACAAGAUUUUAAAAGAUCGUCAUUCCCGGAUUUUCGGCAUCCUUUGUAAGAUAACUCAACCUUAUUUAUUAUGCUAUUUAAUCUGGCGCAGUGUUUCAUAACACGAAAGAAAAAAUCAACCCGGGAUAUUAUCUAAUGUGGUAGAAUUUCAACAUUCUUGUAGCUAGGGGUUUGAGUUUUCGUGUACUUGACACCAUUCAUCCAAUGAUCUCAUUUUCUCUUGGAAAUCUUGUUCAGUUGAAUGAAUAGAGUGAGGCAUUUGAAGCAGAAAAAGUUUGAAUUUGAAUCUCCUUGAGAACAACAAAUUGUGGGACAAUGAGUACAUCACGAUAGCGGAACAACUGGGAAUGGAGAUUUAAGAGAAUUUACGAUUUACCUUCAAAGGCAGCAUUGUAAUUGGACCACAUCCAUCAAUUAUCGGAGUCAUAUUGGCAUCAACUCUGCCCCUUCUAUUUUCUUCCAUUUUGUGUGAAUAAAAAUUUGUAAAAAAAAA